UUCCGGUUGAUCCUGCCGGAGGCCAUUGCUAUUGGAGUCCGAUUUAGCCAUGCUAGUCGCACGGGUUUAGACCCGUGGCGAACAGCUCAGUAACACGUGGCCAAGCUACCCUGUGGACCGGAACAACCUCGGGAAACUGAGGCUAAUUCCGGAUAUCGCUCCCAUGCUGGAAUGCCGGGAGCGACAAACGCCCCGGCGCCACAGGAUGCGGCUGCGGCCGAUUAGGUAGACGGUGGGGUAACGGCCCACCGUGCCCAUAAUCGGUACGGGUUGUGAGAGCAAGAGCCCGGAGACGGACUCUGAGACAAGAGUCCGGGCCCUACGGGGCGCAGCAGGCGCGAAACCUUUACACUGUACGAAAGUGCGAUAAGGGGACUCCAAGUGCGAGGGCAUACAGUCCUCGCUUUUCUACACCGUAAGGUGGUGUAGGAAUAAGGGCUGGGCAAGACCGGUGCCAGCCGCCGCGGUAAUACCGGCAGCCCAAGUGAUGGCCGCUAUUAUUGGGCCUAAAGCGUCCGUAGCCGGCCGAGUAAGUCCGUCGGGAAAUCCACACGCCUAACGUGUGGGCGUCCGGCGGAAACUGCCCGGCUUGGGACCGGGAGACCCGAGGGGUACGUCUGGGGUAGGAGUGAAAUCCUGUAAUCCUGGACGGACCGCCGGUGGCGAAAGCGCCUCGGGAGAACGGAUCCGACGGUGAGGGACGAAAGCUAGGGUCACGAACCGGAUUAGAUACCCGGGUAGUCCUAGCCGUAAACGAUGCUCGCUAGGUGUGGCGCAGGCUACGAGCCUGCGCUGUGCCGUAGGGAAGCCGUGAAGCGAGCCGCCUGGGAAGUACGUCCGCAAGGAUGAAACUUAAAGGAAUUGGCGGGGGAGCACUACAACCGGAGGAGCCUGCGGUUUAAUUGGAGUCAACGCCGGG
Molecule: ribosomal RNA, 919 nt
Filed under: uncultured archaeon
Lineage: Archaea
Description: bacterial SSU rRNA
Rfam family: Archaeal small subunit ribosomal RNA
Source: RNAcentral